GGACGUUUCAGCUUCUGGCAGCUCAGCAUCUCCUUCGGAGAACGAACACUCCACCAUGAAAUUGGCCAAGGCCUGGCCUUUGAUAGCAGUUCGGGGAUGAUAUUCAAUAAAAAAUUGACAUAAUUCCAUUGUCCAUGCUGCUAAUCUCCCCGAAACUUCUGGCUUGCUCAUCACCUUCUUCAACGGUUGGUCCGUGUAGACGACCAGGAGCCAACCUUGAAAAUAUUGCCGAAGCUUU
Molecule: long non-coding RNA, 238 nt
Filed under: Panax ginseng (ginseng)
Lineage: Eukaryota; Viridiplantae; Streptophyta; Magnoliopsida; Apiales; Araliaceae
Description: long non-coding RNA (PGIN_LNC016888)
Source: RNAcentral